AGCUCCAAUAGCGUAUACUAAAGUUGUUGCAGUUAAAAAGCUCGUAGUUGAAUUUCUGGUCGUUGGCUCCGGUCCGUCCCGUGAGGGUUGAGUACCAGGAGUGAGCGGCCAUCCUCGGGGAGAACCUGUCUGAUAUUAAGUUAUUGGGCAGAGGAUCCUCGUCAUUUACUGUGAGCAAAAUAGAGUGUUCAAAGCAAGCUUAUGCUGUUGAAUAUAUUAGCAUGGAAUAAUAAGAUAGGACCUUGGUCUAUUUUGUUGGUUUGCUGUCCAAGGUAAUGAUUAAUAGGGAUAGUUGGGGGUAUUCGUAUUCAAUUGUCAGAGGUGAAAUUCUUGGAUUUAUGGAAGACGAACUACUGCGAAAGCAUUUACCAAGGAUGUUUUCAUUAAUCAAGAACGAAAG
RNAcentral lists this ribosomal RNA (400 nucleotides) under phytoplankton environmental sample. RNAcentral describes it as "partial small subunit ribosomal RNA". It matches the Rfam family "Eukaryotic small subunit ribosomal RNA", at positions 587 to 989 of the family's 1831-position model. The record is from RNAcentral.